GACGAACGCUGGCGGCGUGCUUAACACAUGCAAGUCGAACGGAAAGGCCCCUUUGGGGGUACUCGAGUGGCGAACGGGUGAGUAACACGUGAGUAACCUGCCCUUGACUUCGGGAUAACUUCAGGAAACUGGGGCUAAUACCGGAUAGGAAUCCUUGCUGCAUGGUGGGGGUUGGAAAGCUUCGGCGGUUUUGGAUGGACUCGCGGCUUAUCAGCUUGUUGGUGGGGUAGUGGCUUACCAAGGCUUUGACGGGUAGCCGGCCUGAGAGGGCGACCGGCCACAUUGGGACUGAGAUACGGCCCAGACUCCUACGGGAGGCAGCAGUGGGGAAUAUUGCACAAUGGGCGGAAGCCUGAUGCAGCAACGCCGCGUGCGGGAUGACGGCCUUCGGGUUGUAAACCGCUUUCAGCAGGGGCGAAGCUUGUGGUGACGGUACCUCCAGAAGAAGCACCGGCUAACUACGUG
RNAcentral lists this ribosomal RNA (465 nucleotides) under uncultured bacterium. Its description in RNAcentral is "partial 16S ribosomal RNA". It matches the Rfam family "Bacterial small subunit ribosomal RNA", at positions 28 to 507 of the family's 1533-position model. The record is from RNAcentral.